This 71-nucleotide transfer RNA is filed under the name Providencia phage vB_PreS_PR1. Its description in RNAcentral is "tRNA-Cys". Lineage: Duplodnaviria; Heunggongvirae; Uroviricota; Caudoviricetes; Demerecviridae. The record is from RNAcentral.
GCGCCUUUGACCGAGUGACUAGGUAGGAAAUUGCAAACUUCCGUAGACUGGUUAAAAUCCAGUAAGGUGCU